GGCCUGCUGGCGAAAUGGCAUCGCGUCAGAUUUCGGCUCUGAAGAUUCUAGGUUCGAUCCCUAGGUAGGUCG
RNAcentral lists this transfer RNA (72 nucleotides) under Colletotrichum higginsianum. RNAcentral's name for it is "tRNA-Arg". It matches the Rfam family "tRNA". From Rfam's summary of the family: Transfer RNA (tRNA) molecules are approximately 80 nucleotides in length. Their secondary structure includes four short double-helical elements and three loops (D, anti-codon, and T loops). The record is from RNAcentral. Lineage: Eukaryota; Fungi; Ascomycota; Sordariomycetes; Glomerellales; Glomerellaceae. RNAcentral also lists the same sequence under 5 other names.